CCUACGGGAGGCUGCAGUCGAGAAUCAUUCACAAUGGGGGAAACCCUGAUGGUGCGACGCCGCGUGGGGGAAUGAAGGUCUUCGGAUUGUAAACCCCUGUAAUGUGGUAGCAAAUUAACAAGAUAGUACCACAAGAGGAAGAGACGGCUAAACAGGUGCCAGCAGCCUCGGUAAUACAGAGGUCUCAAGCGUUGUUAGGAGUCACUGGUCUGAAAGCGUGCGUAGGCUGUUUCGUAAGUCGUGUGUGAAAGGCGCGGGCUCAACCCGCGGACGGCACCUGAUACUGCGAGACUAGAGUAAUGGAGGGGGAACCGGAAUUCUCGGUGUAGCAGUGAAAUGCGUAGAUAUCGAGAGGAACACUCGUGGCGAAGGCGGGUUCCUGGACAUUAACUGACGCUGAGGCACGAAGGCCAGGGGAGCGAAAGGGAUUAGAUACCCUUGUAGUC
RNAcentral lists this ribosomal RNA (446 nucleotides) under uncultured bacterium. RNAcentral describes it as "partial 16S ribosomal RNA". It matches the Rfam family "Bacterial small subunit ribosomal RNA", at positions 338 to 795 of the family's 1533-position model. The record is from RNAcentral.